RNAcentral lists this ribosomal RNA (602 nucleotides) under uncultured Arcobacter sp. RNAcentral's name for it is "bacterial SSU rRNA". It matches the Rfam family "Bacterial small subunit ribosomal RNA", at positions 899 to 1505 of the family's 1533-position model. Lineage: Bacteria; Pseudomonadati; Campylobacterota; Epsilonproteobacteria; Campylobacterales; Arcobacteraceae. The record is from RNAcentral.
ACUCAAAGGAAUAGACGGGACCCGCACAAGCGGUGGAGCAUGUGGUUUAAUUCGACGAUACACGAAGAACCUUACCUGGACUUGACAUAGUAAGAACUUUCUAGAGAUAGAUUGGUGUCUGCUUGCAGAAACUUAUAUACAGGUGCUGCACGGCUGUCGUCAGCUCGUGUCGUGGGAUGUUGGGUUAAGUCCCGCAACGAGCGCAACCCUCGUCAUUAGUUGCUAACAGUUCGGCUGAGAACUCUAAUGAGACUGCCUACGCAAGUAGGAGGAAGGUGAGGACGACGUCAAGUCAUCAUGGCCCUUACGUCCAGGGCUACACACGUGCUACAAUGGGGUAUACAAAGAGCAGCAAUACGGUGACGUGGAGCAAAUCUCAAAAAUAUCUCCCAGUUCGGAUUGUAGUUUGCAACUUGACUACAUGAAGUUGGAAUCGCUAGUAAUCGUAGAUCAGCUAUGCUACGGUGAAUACGUUCCCGGGUCUUGUACUCACCGCCCGUCACACCAUGGGAGUUGAACUCAUUCGAAGCGGGGAUGCUAAAGUAGCUACCUUCCACAGUGGAUUCAGCGACUGGGGUGAAGUCGUAACAAGGUAGCCGUAA